RNAcentral lists this ribosomal RNA (442 nucleotides) under uncultured Parabacteroides sp. Its description in RNAcentral is "bacterial SSU rRNA". It matches the Rfam family "Bacterial small subunit ribosomal RNA", at positions 355 to 794 of the family's 1533-position model. The record is from RNAcentral. Lineage: Bacteria; Pseudomonadati; Bacteroidota; Bacteroidia; Bacteroidales; Tannerellaceae.
GGAUGAAUAUUGGUCAAUGGUCGGAAGACUGAACCAGCCAUGCCGCGUGCAGGAAGGAGGUCCUAUGGAUUGUAAACUGCUUUUUUCGGGGAAUAAUAAGACUUUUGCGAAGGUUGAUGCAGGUACCCGAAGAAUAAGGAUCGGCUAACUCCGUGCCAGCAGCCGCGGUAAUACGGAGGAUGCGAGCGUUAUCCGGAUUCAUUGGGUUUAAAGGGUGCGUAGGUUGCUUGUUAAGUCAGCGGUGAAAGUCAGUGGCUCAACCAUUGAAUUGCCGUUGAAACUGGCGAGCUUGAGUACGUACGGGGCAGGCGGAAUGCGUGGUGUAGCGGUGAAAUGCAUAGAUAUCACGCAGAACCCCGAUCGCGAAGGCAGCCUGCCAGGCCGUGACUGACACUGAUGCACGAAAGCGUGGGUAUCGAACAGGAUUAGAUACCCUGGUAGU